CGAACGCUGGCGGCGUGCUUAACACAUGCAAGUCGAACGAGGUCGCAAGACCGAGUGGCGGACGGGUGAGUAAGACAUAGGAAACCUGCCCUGGAGUGGGGGACACCCAGCCGAAAGGUUGGCUAAUACCGCAUACGCUCGACGUCUGAGAUGGUGUCGAGGAAAGAUUUAUCACUCUUGGAGGGGCCUAUGGUCGAUUAGCUAGUUGGUGAGGUAACGGCUCACCAAGGCGACGAUCGAUAGCUGGUUUGAGAGAAUGAUCAGCCACACUGGGACUGAGACACGGCCCAGACUCCUACGGGAGGCAGCAGUGGGGAAUUUUCCGCAAUGGGCGAAAGCCUGACGGAGCGACGCCGCGUGAGGGAUGACGUUUUUCGGAAUGUAAACCUCUGUCAGGGGGGACGAUAAUGACGGUACCCCCAAAGGAAGCAUCGGCUAACUACGUGCCAGCUGCCGCGGUAAUCUGAUGGCGCGAGG
RNAcentral lists this ribosomal RNA (477 nucleotides) under uncultured bacterium. RNAcentral describes it as "bacterial SSU rRNA". It matches the Rfam family "Bacterial small subunit ribosomal RNA", at positions 30 to 539 of the family's 1533-position model. The record is from RNAcentral.